RNAcentral lists this ribosomal RNA (468 nucleotides) under uncultured bacterium. RNAcentral describes it as "partial 16S ribosomal RNA". It matches the Rfam family "Bacterial small subunit ribosomal RNA", at positions 28 to 507 of the family's 1533-position model. The record is from RNAcentral.
GACGAACGCUGGCGGCGUGCUUAACACAUGCAAGUCGAACGGAAAGGCCCUGCUUUUGUGGGGUGCUCGAGUGGCGAACGGGUGAGUAACACGUGAGUAACCUGCCCUUGACUUUGGGAUAACUUCAGGAAACUGGGGCUAAUACCGGAUAGGAGCUCCUGCUGCAUGGUGGGGGUUGGAAAGUUUCGGCGGUUGGGGGUGGACUCGCGGCUUAUCAGCUUGUUGGUGGGGUAGUGGCUUACCAAGGCUUUGACGGGUAGCCGGCCUGAGAGGAUGACCGGCCACAUUGGGACUGAGAUACGGCCCAGACUCCUACGGGAGGCAGCAGUGGGGAAUAUUGCACAAUGGGCGGAAGCCUGAUGCAGCAACGCCGCGUGCGGGAUGACGGCCUUCGGGUUGUAAACCGCUUUCGCCUGUGACGAAGCGUGAGUGACGGUAAUGGGUAAAGAAGCACCGGCUAACUACGUG